This 230-nucleotide ribosomal RNA is filed under the name uncultured archaeon. RNAcentral describes it as "partial 16S ribosomal RNA". It matches the Rfam family "Archaeal small subunit ribosomal RNA", at positions 498 to 725 of the family's 1478-position model. The record is from RNAcentral.
CCAUAUUAUUGGGCCUAAAGCGUCCGUAGCUGGCCGACCAAGUCUACCGGGAAAUCCACCCGCCCAACGGGUGGGCGUCCGGUAGAAACUGGCCGGCUUGGAACCGGAAGGCUCAGAGAGUACGUCCGGGGUAGGAGUGAAAUCCCGUAAUCCCGGACGGACUACCGAUGGCGAAAGCACUCUGAGAAGACGGCUUCGACAGUGAGGGACGAAAGCUCGGGUCUCAAACC